This 610-nucleotide long non-coding RNA is filed under the name Equus asinus (donkey). RNAcentral describes it as "lncRNA (ENSEASG00005033939.1)". The record is from RNAcentral. Lineage: Eukaryota; Metazoa; Chordata; Mammalia; Perissodactyla; Equidae.
CUUGACAGCUGACAUUAAACAGGCAGAUAAAUGAAUCUCUAAUAUGAUAGCAGGAAAUGUUAAGCACUAUCAAAAACAAACAAACAACCAAGUUAAGGCACUAGAGAGUGACUAAAGUGACUGCUUUAGACCAGGCGGUCAGGGAGGGCUUCUCUGAGGAGGCGACCGUUGAGCAGAGACAGAAGGACAAGGGAAGUGACAAAAAGAGCCAGCUGUGCAAGUCUCCAAUAAAAGAGUAUUCCAGGCAGAGGGAAUAGCAAGUGCAAAAGCCCUGAGGUGCCAAGCGCUCCAUCGUCUGCAGCCUCCUCUUACUGACCAGCUCUCAUCCACUCCUCUCAACCCCGGGCAGCUGACGACACGAGCACUCGGAGCCCAGGCCCCAGUGGCUCUUACCCCUUCGUUACAGUUAUUGAAGGUCACCCUGCCCUCCUCAUACUCCGGUUCCUUCCCCAUCAUCCUUUCUUCCCUGAUAUUCCCUACCCCUCCCUCCCCCCCAAUCCCUCCCUCCCUGCACACACACCCUGCCCUUUCCCCUACGUCUCCCGUCCCGUCCCGUCCCCCUACAUUCUUCUCCCGCCUCCAUCCCACAACGCCCCUCCCCGCGCCCCCC